AUGUAAGGGUGAGUAUGUCCCAUGCAAAAUUUGGGACAUGCUUAACCUAAAA
This 52-nucleotide microRNA precursor is filed under the name Marmota monax (woodchuck). Lineage: Eukaryota; Metazoa; Chordata; Mammalia; Rodentia; Sciuridae. The record is from RNAcentral.